ACGUAGGCAGCGAGCGUUGUUCGGAGUUACUGGGCGUAAAGAGUAUGUAGGCGGUGCUUUAAGUUUGGUGUGAAAUCUCCCGGCUUAACUGGGGAGGUGCGCUGGAUACUGGAAAGCUUGAGUGUAGGAAAGGAGAGCGGAAUUCCUGGUGUAGCGGUGAAAUGCGUAGAUAUCGGGAGGAACACCAGAGGCGUAGGCGGCUCUCUGGGCUGUGACUGACACUGAGAUACGAAAGCUAGGGGAGCAAACGG
RNAcentral lists this ribosomal RNA (251 nucleotides) under uncultured prokaryote. Its description in RNAcentral is "partial 16S rRNA". It matches the Rfam family "Bacterial small subunit ribosomal RNA", at positions 525 to 775 of the family's 1533-position model. The record is from RNAcentral.